UGCAGUCGAACGCGGUUAUCCCGCAAGGGGUAACUGAGUGGCAAACGGGUGAGUAACACGUGGGUGACCUACCUCUGAGUGGGGGAUAACGUUUCGAAAGGAACGCUAAUACCGCAUGACAUCCUGCCUUUGGACAGGCGGAGAUCAAAGCCGGGGAUCGCAAGACCUGGCGCUUGGAGAGGGGCCCGCGUCCGAUUAGCUAGUUGGUGGGGUAACGGCUCACCAAGGCGACGAUCGGUAUCCGGCCUGAGAGGGCGGACGGACACACUGGGACUGAGACACGGCCCAGACUCCUACGGGAGGCAGCAGUGGGGAAUUGUUCGCAAUGGGCGCAAGCCUGACGACGCAACGCCGCGUGGAGGAUGAAGGUCUUCGGAUUGUAAACUCCUGUUGAUCGGGACGAACAACCAUCGGGAUAACACCCCGGAGGUCUGACGGUACCGAUUGAGGAAGCCCCGGCUAACUCUGUGCCAGCAGCCGCGGUAAUACAGAGGGGGCAAGCGUUGUUCGGAAUUACUGGGCGUAAAGGGCGCGUAGGCGGCCGCCUAAGUCAGACGUGAAAUCCCUCGGCUCAACCGGGGAACUGCGUCUGAUACUGGGUGGCUUGAAUCCGG
RNAcentral lists this ribosomal RNA (614 nucleotides) under uncultured bacterium. RNAcentral describes it as "bacterial SSU rRNA". It matches the Rfam family "Bacterial small subunit ribosomal RNA", at positions 56 to 651 of the family's 1533-position model. The record is from RNAcentral.